GUAGAAAAGUCUCAAAAAGCCUUCAUGCUCUCAAGAAACCAAGCCUAUUGUUUUCUCAAGUGUAAAUUUAUGGUGGACCCUCCAGGAGCAGAGAAUCCCUUCACCAUUCUGCCUGGGAAACAGGACCAGUCACCAAGUGACUCAAUAAAAUAGCACACGCAAGGAAAAGGAAAAACUAUUUCCUGCAACAAGCAAAGUCGUCCUUUAAUAGUGUUCCAGGACCAAGACAGCCUGUUGUCCCCUGACACCUCUUUAAGCACCGGAGCACUGUAUCUGCAGUUCAAUCCAUUUUGCAUUAUCUCCUAAAGACUCCUACCAGGAAUCGGUCUUUCUGGAUUACACACCACUAUUUAUUUAUUCUCUUUAUUUCAGACAAUCUGCAGUUCAAGUUCACUUACCUGAAAUCCCCAAACUGAAUACUGUAUACACACAAGGGUAGCUAGCAGAAUUUUGUGUGCUACAUUCGUUCAAUAUCUAAAAUAAAAUGUGGCCCCUGAACUGUUUUUAAUAAGGCAAAUUAAAUCGAUUGUAUAUGAAGAAACAAUCCCAGAUGACGCAGAUUAAAGCAAAAGUAAGGCCACUU
This is a long non-coding RNA of Strigops habroptila (Kakapo), 583 nucleotides long. RefSeq lists it as uncharacterized. Lineage: Eukaryota; Metazoa; Chordata; Aves; Psittaciformes; Psittacidae. The record is from RefSeq and is a predicted model, not a curated record. The transcript has 3 exons.